ACUUCUGGAAACUAAUUCAUCAGAAGCUGCAACAUUCAAGAAAAGGCAAUUUGCCAUUGAAGGCAAUUUACCAGAAAAGGCACAAAUAUAUUUUCACUUUAAUUUACAACUGUAAAUGACAAGAAGAAAUAGAAAUUUAAACUGCUUUAAAAACAAUACAAGUCAGUGACUUGUAUUGUUUUUAUAGGUAUUAACCAGUCUCUCUGCAGGCUAAGAAUUCUCAGCAUCAGAUUAUUUCUCGCAGACUACAUCUUACCCCAUGAAUAAAAUGUGGCCCUGAUGUAGUAACACUUACCGUUCGAUUUCGAGUAUUUAUUUUUCACUAUUGACCUUCCUAUUUGAGGAAUUGAACAUGACUCAUAAAAUCCAUCUAUUUCUUGAUAUCUCAGUAUUUACAAAGAACUAAAGCAUAUUAUCAAUGAUUUAUUGCCAUCA
This 435-nucleotide unclassified non-coding RNA is filed under the name Hevea brasiliensis (rubber tree). Lineage: Eukaryota; Viridiplantae; Streptophyta; Magnoliopsida; Malpighiales; Euphorbiaceae. The record is from RNAcentral.